UGGGGAAUAUUGCACAAUGGGGGAAACCCUGAUGCAGCAACGCCGCGUGAAGGAAGACGGUUUUCGGAUUGUAAACUUCUGUUCUUAGUGAAGAAUCAUGACGGUAGCUAAGGAGCAAGCCACGGCUAACUACGUGCCAGCAGCCGCGGUAAUACGUAGGUGGCAAGCGUUGUCCGGAAUUACUGGGUGUAAAGGGAGCGCAGGCGGGAGAUCAAGUCGGCUGUGAAAUCUACAGGCUUAACUUGUAGACUGCGGUCGAAACUGGUUUUCUUGAGUGAAGUAGAGGUAGGCGGAAUUCGUGGUGUAGCGGUGAAAUGCUUAGAUAUCACGAAGAACUCCUAUUGCGAAGGCAGCUCACUAAACUGCAACUGACGUUCAUGCUCGAAAGUGUGGGUAUCAAACAGGAUUAGAUACCCUAGU
Molecule: ribosomal RNA, 420 nt
Filed under: uncultured bacterium
Lineage: Bacteria
Description: bacterial SSU rRNA
Rfam family: Bacterial small subunit ribosomal RNA
Source: RNAcentral